AUUGAACGCUGGCGGCAUGCCUUACACAUGCAAGUCGAACGGCAGCACGGGGCGAACCCUGGUGGCGAGUGGCGAACGGGUGAGUAAUGCAUCGGAACGUGCCCAGUAGUGGGGGAGUAACUAGUCGAAAGAUUAGCUAAUACCGCAUACGACCUAUGGGUGAAAGCGGGGGACCGUUUACCGCCUCGCGCUAUCGGAGCGGCCGAUGUCUGAUUAGCUAG
This 221-nucleotide ribosomal RNA is filed under the name uncultured bacterium. RNAcentral's name for it is "partial 16S ribosomal RNA". It matches the Rfam family "Bacterial small subunit ribosomal RNA", at positions 30 to 248 of the family's 1533-position model. The record is from RNAcentral.